CUGCGGAGGAUCAUUAUUGAAUUUAAUGAAGAGCUUGGUUGUAGCUGGUCCAAUGGAUUUUUUAAUUUUAAUUUUAAUUUUUAAAAUCCAAAAUUGGGUAUGUGCACACCUUUCUCUUUCAUCCAUACACACACCUGUGCACCUGUGAGACAGAUUCAGGGGAACUUUUUUUUUCUGAGGGGACCCUGCUGUCUAUUUAAUUUAUAUAAACUCAAUUUAAUUUAAAAUGAAUGCAAUGGAUGUAACACAUCUAAUACUAAGUUUCAACAACGGAUCUCUUGGCUCUUGCAUCGAUGAAGAACGCAGCGAAAUGCGAUAAGUAAUGUGAAUUGCAGAAUUCAGUGAAUCAUCGAAUCUUUGAACGCACCUUGCGCUCCUUGGCAUUCCUUGGAGCAUGCCUGUUUGAGUAUCAUGAAAUAUUCAAAGUAAAUCUUUUGUUUACUCAAUUGGUUCUACUUUGGUAUUUGAGGUUUAUUGCAGCUUCACACCUGCUCCUCUUUGUGCAUUAGCUGGAUUCUCUUGGUGGUUAUGCUUGGUUCCACUCGGCGUGAUAAAUUAAUUUAAUCGCUGAGGACACUCUAUAGUGGCCAAGGUAAAUACAGAUGAAUCUGCUUCUAAUAGUCCCAUUGACUUGGACAAUAUAUAUUUAUUAUGAUAUGAUCUCAAAUCAGGUAGGACUACCCGCUGAACUUAA
This 694-nucleotide ribosomal RNA is filed under the name uncultured Ceratobasidiaceae. RNAcentral describes it as "eukaryotic LSU rRNA". The stretch from base 259 to 412 matches the Rfam family "5.8S ribosomal RNA". Lineage: Eukaryota; Fungi; Basidiomycota; Agaricomycetes; Cantharellales; Ceratobasidiaceae. The record is from RNAcentral.